RNAcentral lists this transfer RNA (72 nucleotides) under Pteropus alecto (black flying fox). It matches the Rfam family "tRNA". From Rfam's summary of the family: Transfer RNA (tRNA) molecules are approximately 80 nucleotides in length. Their secondary structure includes four short double-helical elements and three loops (D, anti-codon, and T loops). Lineage: Eukaryota; Metazoa; Chordata; Mammalia; Chiroptera; Pteropodidae. The record is from Rfam by way of RNAcentral.
GGUUCCAUAGUGUAGCGGUUAACACAUCUGCUUUACACACAGAAGGUCCUGGUUGGCGCCCCAGUGGAGCCA